UCCUGAUGAUGAAACACUGCAUCUUAUGUGUUGCAAGGAGCCAGUACCUGUAAAGGUGAACCCUCUGGUGACUUCAGCAUGGCAAGAAGAUAGAUGGUUCAGAGAACUGUCUGAUGGGG
Molecule: small nucleolar RNA, 119 nt
Organism: Leucoraja erinaceus (little skate)
Lineage: Eukaryota; Metazoa; Chordata; Chondrichthyes; Rajiformes; Rajidae
Product: small nucleolar RNA SNORD22
Exons: 1
Source: RefSeq, a predicted model, not a curated record